GAUGAACGCUGGCGGCGUGCCUAAUACAUGCAAGUCGAGCGAACAGACGAGGAGCUUGCUCCUCUGACGUUAGCGGCGGACGGGUGAGUAACACGUGGAUAACCUACCUAUAAGACUGGGAUAACUUCGGGAAACCGGAGCUAAUACCGGAUAAUAUAUUGAACCGCAUGGUUCAAUAGUGAAAGACGGUUUUGCUGUCACUUAUAGAUGGAUCCGCGCCGUAUUAGCUAGUUGGUAAGGUAACGGCUUACCAAGGCAACGAUGCGUAGCCGACCUGAGAGGGUGAUCGGCCACACUGGAACUGGGACACGGUCCAGACUCCUACGGGAGGCAGCAGUAGGGAAUCUUCCGCAAUGGGCGAAAGCCUGACGGAGCAACGCCGCGUGAGUGAUGAAGGUCUUCGGAUCGUAAAACUCUGUUAUUAGGGAAGAACAAAUGUGUAAGUAACUAUGCACGUCUUGACGGUACCUAAUCAGAAAGCCACGGCUAACUACGUG
This 497-nucleotide ribosomal RNA is filed under the name uncultured bacterium. Its description in RNAcentral is "partial 16S ribosomal RNA". It matches the Rfam family "Bacterial small subunit ribosomal RNA", at positions 28 to 507 of the family's 1533-position model. The record is from RNAcentral.